Molecule: long non-coding RNA, 2363 nt
Organism: Amphiprion ocellaris (clown anemonefish)
Lineage: Eukaryota; Metazoa; Chordata; Actinopteri; Pomacentridae
Source: Ensembl
UCAGAUGCUGCAGUGCAUGAAGACUCUUAUGUUCACUCUUGCCACCAACAGGACAUCUGGUGGGUUUUAUUUUUUGUUCAGACAUUAGUUAGCAGCUGCAGGAAGUAAAUAAACCUGGAAGACAGAGGCAGCUACUCGGUCUGAUGGUUCACCUGGACAGUGAUGGGGCAGGGCUACACAAAGCUGGACCCCUAUUGGUCAAGAAUUACCAAACACAGACACGGAUUUGCACCAGAUGGGACCGUUAAGGGCUUUAUAGGAGGGAAAGGUUUUAAAUUCUGCUCUGAAACCGAUCAACCCUCACAUUACAAAGCUAUUCAUUUCACCUCAAUAUGUUCACUAUUUUAUGUGGAAGCAGAAAAGCUCUACAUGAGAAAUAAGUAGACUGGAUCUGAUGCAAAGCUAUACUUUAUUUGAAAGAGGAGAUACAAGGAGUCGGACCAAGGACCUCUGCAGUUGUGGAUGGACUGGUCCAGAUGUGUAAUGGAAGUGCUGGUUGUGGAACUGUCAGCAUCAAUCAUCUGAGACCUCACCACUGCUGUCAGACAGCUCGUCAUCCCCAGAAGAGUCGUAAUCCCCAGACGCCUCAUCCCCAGAAGCAUCAUCAUCCAUGAGUUCUGGAUCAGAAGCCUCCAUGUCAUCCAUCCCUCUCCCCAGUCUGGGUUCUAAAGGUGAAAAGGUGUCAUCAUCCUCAGAGUCAUAAUCAUCAUCCUCAGAAUCAUCAUCAUCAUCAUCAUCCUCCUCAUGUUCCUCCAUGUCCUCUGGGUCAUCAGAUGCCUCCAGGUCAUCCAUCCCUCGCCACAGUCUGGGUUCAAAAGGUAACAAGGCAUUCAUCUCGGCAUCAAACAUGUUGGCUGUUGCAGAAUCCUCAUCGUAGUAAUCAUCUCCAGAAGAACCAUCAUCGUAUGCCUCAUCCCCAGAAGCAUCAUUAUCCAUGAAUUCUAGAUCAGAUGCCUCCAUCCCUCUCCCCAGUCUGGGUCCUACAGGUGGCAAGGUGUUCAGCAUUUCUUCAGUUGUGUUUGAAGCUGCAAUUGUGGCAUUAGACUGGGCAUCAGUGAUGUUGGCCAUUGUGGAAUCCUCAUAGUCGGCAUCAUCGGAAUAGUCAUCCUCACCAUCGUACUCCUCUUCAUCGUACUCUUCAUUCUCAGAAUCAUCAGACACCUCCAUGUCAUCCAUCCCUCUCCCCAGUCUGGGUCCUACAGGUGGCAAGGUGUUCAGCAUUUCUUCAGUUGUGUUUGAAGCUGCAAUUGUGGCAUUAGACUGGGCAUCAGUGAUGUUGGCCAUUGUGGAAUCCUCAUAGUCGGCAUCAUCGGAAUAGUCAUCCUCACCAUCGUACUCCUCUUCAUCGUACUCUUCAUUCUCAGAAUCAUCAGACACCUCCAUGUCAUCCAUCUCUCUCCCCAGUCUGGGUCCUACAGGUGAAAAAGUGUCGUCAUCCUCCUCAGAGUCACCAGACGUCUCCAUGUCAGCCAACCCUCUCCCCAGUCUGGGUUUUACAGGCAUCGAGGAGUUCAGUGUUUCUUCAGCUUCCACCGUCAGUGUUGUGGUUGGAGCUGCUAUUGUGGAGUUUGUCUGGGUAUCAGUCAUGUUGGCCGUUGUGUUGUUGGUGUCAGACUCCUCAUCAUCUGACUGCUCUUCAUCCAACUCGUCAUCUGAAUCCUCCUCAUAACCAUCCAACUCUUCAUCAUCCUCAUCAGAAGGGCCAUCAUCUGAUGCAUCCAGGUAUUCUGAGGAAUUGUCCACCAUCUGUGUGAUUACAUUUGACAGGUGCAUUAGCAGAGUUUCCUUCAACAUGUGGAGGUUCUGCUCCUCCCAUCAUUUCAGUUUCCCCUCUCACCUGUCGGGGUUCCACAUUGUGCCAAUGACGAGGAUUCACCCCCCAGUCCCACUGGUCCUGGUGUUGCAGAGCUCUGCGCCGACGAUCCCGCCCAUCUCCUCUGGCUGCACCGAAACAAGCCGCCAGCAUCGUGGACAUCUCCCCAGCCGAAUCCAAAUAGAUCACUUCAAACAUGGAGUCCUGCACAACAUUCAGCCAUUAGUUCUCCACCCAACUAUGACAAACUGGAUGGUGGAUCACUCCAUCCUUACCUUGUCUGCCGGUGUGGAGAUCUGCACCAACACUGGCCCUGGAGUAGUGGUGGUCUGCACCCUCCCAACCACCACAUCUUUCCCCAGAGCCUUCACCUUCUGCAGUCUGCUUCCCUGAGGCAGUUUCACAGCCACUUCUGUGCUCCUGCAGCUCACCGCCGGCAGGGUCCACAUUGCAGGAUCCUCACAGGCGACCACAGCCGUCAUGUUCUCCCGCAGCAGGUGGUCGAAGUAACGCAGCUUCAACUGGUGGAACCACGUUCCAUUUGAAACCU